AUUGAACGCUGGCGGAAUGCUUUACACAUGCAAGUCGAACGGUAGAGGGGCAACCCUUGAGAGUGGCGAACGGGUGAGUAAUGUAUCGGAACAUGCCCAGUCGUGGGGGAUAACGUAGCGAAAGUUACGCUAAUACCGCAUACGAUCUAUGGAUGAAAGCGGGGGAUCGCAAGACCUCGCGCGAUUGGAGUGGCCGAUAUCAGAUUAGGUAGUUGGUGGGGUAAAGGCCUACCAAGCCGACGAUCUGUAGCUGGUCUGAGAGGACGACCAGCCACACUGGGACUGAGACACGGCCCAGACUCCUACGGGAGGCAGCAGUGGGGAAUUUUGGACAAUGGGCGCAAGCCUGAUCCAGCCAUUCCGCGUGCAGGAAGAAGGCCUUCGGGUUGUAAACUGCUUUUGUACGGAACGAAACGCGCUGAGCUACUACCUCGGCGUAAUGACGGUACCGUAAGAAUAAGCACCGGCUAACUACGUGCCAGCAGCCGCGGUAA
This 494-nucleotide ribosomal RNA is filed under the name uncultured bacterium. RNAcentral's name for it is "partial 16S ribosomal RNA". It matches the Rfam family "Bacterial small subunit ribosomal RNA", at positions 30 to 523 of the family's 1533-position model. The record is from RNAcentral.